GAUAAUUGAUGAGUAGGUGCAGCCGUCCAGGAUUUCUGAAGCAUGAUCCUUCGGCCUGUUAAAGGCACAUGAUGAAAGGCAAAAGCUCACAUUUUUAAAAACAAAAUUAUUUGAAUUGAGUAUUAACUGUCAAACAAAAUUUGAUUUUGUUGUUUUAUUGUGCAAAACUGUAAUGUUGCUUUUGAUUAAAGGUUAUAGUGUGGUUAUUGUAACUUUCGGCUCAAUUCAGUCCAUCCAAAGAAAAUCUUGGUUCUUACACCAUCCCCC
RNAcentral lists this long non-coding RNA (267 nucleotides) under Setaria viridis. Its description in RNAcentral is "long non-coding RNA (SVIR_LNC009064)". Lineage: Eukaryota; Viridiplantae; Streptophyta; Magnoliopsida; Poales; Poaceae. The record is from RNAcentral.